Molecule: ribosomal RNA, 1421 nt
Filed under: uncultured prokaryote
Description: partial 16S ribosomal RNA
Rfam family: Bacterial small subunit ribosomal RNA
Source: RNAcentral
AGAGUUUGAUCAUGGCUCAGAACGAACGCUGGCGGCGUGGAUUAGGCAUGCAAGUCGUACGGGCGCUUAGCUUUUUCGAGCGUCAGUGGCGAAAGGGUGAGUAACACGUGGGUAACCUGCCCUAGGGAUUGGGAUAACCUAUCGAAAGAUGGGCUAAUACCGGAUACCUUCCAUGAAUAAUUUUCAUGGAGGAAAGAUGGGGACCUCUUCGGAGGCCUGUCGCUCUUAGAGGGGUCCGCGGCCUAUCAGCUUGUUGGUGAGGUAACGGCUCACCAAGGCGAAGACGGGUAGCUGGUCUGAGAGGAUGGUCAGCCACACUGGGACUGAGACACUGCCCAGACACCUACGGGUGGCUGCAGUCGAGAAUCUUUCGCAAUGGGGGAAACCCUGACGAAGCGACGCCGCGUGCAGGAUGAAGGUUUUCGGAUCAUAAACUACUGUCAGCUGGGAAGAAAGAGUUUCUAGUGAAUAAUUAGAUGCUCUGACGGUACCAGCAGAGGAAGCCACGGCUAGCUCUGUGCCAGCAGCCGCGGUAAUACAGAGGUGGCAAGCGUUGUUCGGAUUUAUUGGGCGUAAAGGGUUCGUAGGCGGCUUGAAAAGUCGGAUGUGAAAUCCCACAGCUUAACUGUGGAACUGCAUUCGAAACUCUCGGACUCGAGUGUGAGAGGGGUAAAGGGAAUUCCCGGUGUAAGGGUGAAAUCUGCAGAGAUCGGGAAGAACACCAGUCGCGAAGGCGCUUUACUGGCUCACUACUGACGCUGAGGGACGAAAGCUAGGGUAGCCAACGGGAUUAGAUACCCCGGUAGUCCUAGCCGUAAACGAUGUUCACUAGAUGUUGGGAGGGUUAAACCUUUCAGUGCCGUCGCUCACGCAUUAAGUGACCCGCCUGGGGAGUACGGUCGCAAGGUCGAAACUCAAAGGAAUUGACGGGGACCCGCACAAACGGUGGAGCAUGUGGUUUAAUACGACGAUACGCGUGGAACCUUACCUAGGCUUGACAUGUAUUGGAAAUCCCUAUGAAAGUAGGGACCCUUCUUCGGAAGUCGAUACACAGGUGUUGCAUGGCUGUCGUCAGCUCGUGUCGUGAGAUGUUGGGUUAAGUCCCGCAACGAGCGCAACCCCUAUCCCUAGUUGCUAAUGAUGCCUUCGGGCAUCAUGCUCUCUAUGGAGACCGCCGCUGAUAAAGCGGAGGAAGGUGGGGAUGACGUCAAGUCAGUACGGCCCUUACGCCUGGGGCUACACACGUGCUACAAUGGCCGGUACAAAGGGCAGCCAAACCGCAAGGUGGAGCCAAUCCCAAAAGCCGGUCCCAGUUCGGAUUGGAGGCUGCAACUCGCCUCCAUGAAGCCGGAAUCGUUAGUAACCCCGUAUCAGCUACGGCGGGGUGAAUACGUUCCCGGGUCUUGUACACACCGCCCGUC